GACGAACGCUGGCGGCGUGCUUAACACAUGCAAGUCGAACGGAAAGGCCCUGCUUUUGUGGGGUGCUCGAGUGGCGAACGGGUGAGUAACACGUGAGUAACCUGCCCUUGACUUUGGGAUAACUUCAGGAAACUGGGGCUAAUACCGGAUAGGAGCUCCUGCUGCAUGGUGGGGGUUGGAAAGUUUCGGCGGUUGGGGAUGGACUCGCGGCGUAUCAGCUUGUUGGUGGGGUAGUGGCUUACCAAGGCUUGGACGGGUAGCCGGCCUGAGAGGGUGACGGGCCACAUUGGGACUGAGAUACGGCACAGACUCCUACGGGAGGCAGCAGUGGGGAAGAUUGCACGAUGGGCGGAAGCCUGAUGAAGCAACGCCGCGUGCGGGAUGACGGCCUUCGGGUUGUAAACCGAUUUCGCCUGUGACGAAGCGUGAGUGACGGUAAUGGGUAAAGAAGCACCGGCUAAAUACGUG
This 468-nucleotide ribosomal RNA is filed under the name uncultured bacterium. RNAcentral's name for it is "partial 16S ribosomal RNA". It matches the Rfam family "Bacterial small subunit ribosomal RNA", at positions 28 to 507 of the family's 1533-position model. The record is from RNAcentral.